Long non-coding RNA from Oncorhynchus keta (chum salmon), 1047 nucleotides. RefSeq lists it as uncharacterized. The transcript has 4 exons. NCBI's taxonomy places the organism in Eukaryota, Metazoa, Chordata, Actinopteri, Salmoniformes, Salmonidae. The record is from RefSeq and is a predicted model, not a curated record.
CCCAUGUAUAAAGGCCCUAGAGCAGUGACCCCAUGUAUAAAGGCCCUAGAGCAGUGACCCCAUGUAUAAAGGCCCUAGAGCAGUGACCCCAUGUAUAAAGGCCCUAGAGCAGUGACCCCAUGUAUAAAGGCCCUAGAGCAGUGACCCCAUGUAUAAAGGCCCUAGAGCAGUGACCCCAUGGAUAAAGGCCCUAGAGCAGUGACCCCAUGUAUAAAGACCCUAGAGCAGUGACCCCAUGUAUAAAGACCCUAGAGCAGUGACCCCAGUGACCCCUGGUAUAAAGACCCUAGAGUAGUGACCCCAUGUAUAAAGACCCUAGAGUAAUGACCCCAUGUAUAAAGACCCUAGAGCAGUGAUUCCAUGUAUAAAGACCCUAGAGUAGUGACCCCAGGUAUAAAGGCCCUAGAGCAGUGACCCCAUGUAUAAAGGCCCUAGAGCAGUGACCCCAUGUAUAAAGACCCUAGAGCAGUGACCCCAGGUAUAAAGGCCCUAGAGCAGUGACCCCCAUGUAUAAAGGCCCUAGAGCAGUGACCCCAUGUAUAAAGGCCCUAGAGCAGUGACCCCAUGUAUAAAGGCCCUAGAGCAGUGACCCCAUGUAUAAAGACCCUAGAGCAGUGACCCCCAUGUAUAAAGGCCCUAGAGCAGUGACCCCAUGUAUAAAGACCCUAGAGCAGUGACCCCAGGUAUAAAGGCCCUAGAGCAGUGACCCCAUGUAUAAAGACCCUAGAGCAGUGACCCCAGGUAUAAAGGCCCUAGAGCAGUGACCCCAGGUAUAAAGGCCCUAGAGCAGUGACCCCAUGUAUAAAGACCCUAGAGCAGUGACCCCAGGUAUAAAGGCCCUAGAGCAGUGACCCCAUGUAUAAAGGCCCUAGAGCAGUGACCCCAGGUAUAAAGGCCCACAUUUCACGGGGUCACUUCAGUCCAAUCUUUUCUUCUUCUCUUCUAACUCAGGCACCGACGACCCUUUGAAAACAACCCACCAGUCGAGACUCUCUGCCCUAUCAGGACUGUCAACCUCAUCAUCAAGCGGCCAUCUUGGACGGGCUC